RNAcentral lists this ribosomal RNA (448 nucleotides) under uncultured bacterium. RNAcentral describes it as "bacterial SSU rRNA". It matches the Rfam family "Bacterial small subunit ribosomal RNA", at positions 329 to 793 of the family's 1533-position model. The record is from RNAcentral.
GGCCAGACUCCUACGGGAGGCAGCAGUGGGGAAUAUUGCACAAUGGGGGAAACCCUGAUGCAGCGACGCCGCGUGAGUGAAGAAGUAUUUCGGUAUGUAAAGCUCUAUCAGCAGGGAAGAAGAAGGACGGUACCUGAGUAAGAAGCCCCGGCUAACUACGUGCCAGCAGCCGCGGUAAUACGUAGGGGGCAAGCGUUAUCCGGAUUUACUGGGUGUAAAGGGAGCGUAGACGGCGAAGAAAGUCUGAAGUGAAAGCCCGUGGCUCAACCGCGGAAUGGCUUUGGAAACUUUUUUGCUGGAGUACCGGAGAGGUAAGCGGAAUUCCUAGUGUAGCGGUGAAAUGCGUAGAUAUUAGGAGGAACACCAGUGGCGAAGGCGGCUUACUGGACGGUAACUGACGUUGAGGCUCGAAAGCGUGGGGAGCAAACAGGAUUAGAUACCCUAGUAU